RNAcentral lists this ribosomal RNA (494 nucleotides) under uncultured bacterium. RNAcentral describes it as "partial 16S ribosomal RNA". It matches the Rfam family "Bacterial small subunit ribosomal RNA", at positions 28 to 507 of the family's 1533-position model. The record is from RNAcentral.
GACGAACGCUGGCGGCGUGCUUAACACAUGCAAGUCGAACGGUGAAGCGCCUUCCUUUUUGGUGGGUGUGGAUGAGUGGCGAACGGGUGAGUAACACGUGAGUAACCUGCCCCCUUCUUCUGGAUAACCGCAUGAAAGUGUGGCUAAUACGGGAUAUUCUGGGUCUGUCGCAUGAUGGGUCUGGGAAAGAUAUUGUUUCGGUGGGGGAUGGGCUCGCGGCCUAUCAGCUUGUUGGUGGGGUGAUGGCCUACCAAGGCGGUGACGGGUAGCCGGCCUGAGAGGGGGGACGGUCACACUGGGACUGCGACACGGCCGAGACUCCUACGGGAGGCAGCAGUGGGGAAUAUUGCACAAUGGGCGAAAGCCUGAUGCAGCGAGGCCGCGUGAGGGAUGGAGGCCUGCGGGUUGUGAACCUCUUUCGCCAGUGAAGCAGGCCUGCCUCGUUUGUGGGUGGGUUGACGGUAGCUGGAUAAGAAGCGCCGGCUAACUACGUG